GAAUUUUCCGCAAUGGGCGAAAGCCUGACGGAGCAAUACCGCGUGAGGGAGGAAGGUCCUUGGAUUGUAAACCUCUUUUAUCAGGGAAGAAGUUCUGACGGUACCUGAUGAAUAAGCAUCGGCUAACUCCGUGCCAGCAGCCGCGGUAAUACGGAGGAUGCAAGCGUUAUCCGGAAUUAUUGGGCGUAAAGCGUCCGUAGGUGGUUAUGCAAGUCUGCCGUUAAAGAAUGGAGCUUAACUCCAUAGGAGCGGUGGAAACUGCAAGACUAGAGUACAGUAGGGGUAGCAGGAAUUCCCAGUGUAGCGGUGAAAUGCGUAGAUAUUGGGAAGAACAUCGGUGGCGAAAGCGUGCUACUGGGCUGAAACUGACACUGAGGGACGAAAGCUAGGGUAGCGAAAGGGAUUAGAUACCCCCUGUAGUC
RNAcentral lists this ribosomal RNA (422 nucleotides) under Synechocystis sp. PUPCCC 64. Its description in RNAcentral is "bacterial SSU rRNA". It matches the Rfam family "Bacterial small subunit ribosomal RNA", at positions 359 to 795 of the family's 1533-position model. Lineage: Bacteria; Bacillati; Cyanobacteriota; Cyanophyceae; Synechococcales; Merismopediaceae. The record is from RNAcentral.